UACGUAGGGGGCUAGCGUUGUCCGGAUUUAUUGGGCGUAAAGAGCGUGUAGGCGGCCAGGUAGGUCUGGUGUGAAAACUCGAGGCUUAACCUCGAGAUGUCAUCGGAAACCAUCUGGCUAGAGUCCGGAAGAGGAGAGUGGAAUUCCUGGUGUAGCGGUGAAAUGCGCAGAUAUCAGGAGGAACACCGGUGGCGAAGGCGGGUCUCUGGGCCGACAUUGACGCUGAGGAGCGAAAGCGUGGGGAGCGAACAGG
Molecule: ribosomal RNA, 253 nt
Filed under: uncultured bacterium
Lineage: Bacteria
Description: partial 16S ribosomal RNA
Rfam family: Bacterial small subunit ribosomal RNA
Source: RNAcentral